This 494-nucleotide ribosomal RNA is filed under the name uncultured bacterium. Its description in RNAcentral is "partial 16S ribosomal RNA". It matches the Rfam family "Bacterial small subunit ribosomal RNA", at positions 28 to 507 of the family's 1533-position model. The record is from RNAcentral.
GACGAACGCUGGCGGCGUGCUUAACACAUGCAAGUCGAACGGAAAGGCCUGCUUUCCCUUGUGGAUUGCGGGUACUCGAGUGGCGAACGGGUGAGUAACACGUGAGUGAUCUGCCCCCAACUUGGGUAUAAGCCUGGGAAACUGGGUCUAAUUCCCGAUAGGACUGCAGGGUGGUGCCUGUGGUGGAAAACGAUUUUCUAGUGGUUGGGGAUGAGCUCGCGGCCUAUCAGCUUGUUGGUGGGGUAAUGGCCUACCAAGGCGGCGACGGGUAGCCGGCCUGGGAGGGUGGACGGCCACAUUGGGACUGAGAUACGGCCCAGACUCCUACGGGAGGCAGCAGUGGGGAAUAUGGCACGAUGGGCGGAAGCCUGAUGCAGCGACGCCGCGUGGGGGAUGACGGCCUUCGGGUUGUAAACUCCUUUCGACCGCGAGGAAGCCACCUGGUUGGAAGGGUGGUGACGGUAGUGGUAGAAGAAGCACCGGCUAACUACGUG